Gymnogyps californianus (California condor) is the source of this 596-nucleotide non-coding RNA. The record is from the annotation of a RefSeq genome assembly. NCBI's taxonomy places the organism in Eukaryota, Metazoa, Chordata, Aves, Accipitriformes, Cathartidae.
CAUGGCGCCCGGGCUGGGGCCGUGGCUGCUGGCCUUGUCCUUGGCCGCGGGGCCGGCAGGGGUGUGGGCGCAGCUGAGGCUGGUGGAGGCCGGCGGAGGGCUGCGAGCGCCCGGGGACUCCGUGCUCCUCUCCUGCCGCGGAUCCGGCUUCGACUUCGGGGAUUAUCACAUUCUGUGGUACCGUCAGGCACCCGGUGGCAGUCUGGAGUGGGUGUCCGUCUGCUGGAACUGGGAUGAUACAAAUUACGGGACAUCAGUGGAAGGUCGAGCCACAGCCUCCCGGGACAAUUCCCGGUCUGAGGCAUCUCUGUCCCUGCGUGCCCUGCACCCCCGGGACUCUGCCCGCUACUUCUGUGCUGUUCACACGGAGAGAGGAAAUCCAGCUGAGGUUUAACACAAACCUGCUGGGGCCCGGCCCUGGGUGUGAGAGCUGCGGGGCAGGAGAGUGCUGGGGGGAGGGCUCAGGGUUGUUCCCACUGAGUGAGGUGCCAUCACUGUGCGCUGCAGGUGUUCCUGGCCUUUCCUGCGCAGUGCAGGAAUUUUAAUUUAUUGCCAAUUAAAAUAGAGUAGCAUGGUGAGACAGAAAAAUAAAAACU